GACGAACGCUGGCGGCGUGCUUAACACAUGCAAGUCGAACGGUGAAGCGCCUUCCUUUUUGGUGGGUGUGGAUGAGUGGCGAACGGGUGAGUAACACGUGAGUAACCUGCCCCCUUCUUCUGGAUAACCGCAUGAAAGUGUGGCUAAUACGGGAUAUUCUGGGUCUGUCGCAUGAUGGGUCUGGGAAAGAUAUUGUUUCGGUGGGGGAUUGGCUCGCGGCCUAUCAGCUUGUUGGUGGGGUGAUGGCCUACCAAGGCGGGGACGGGUAGCCGGCCUGGGAGGGUGGACGGUCACACUGGGACUGAGGCACGGCCCAGACUCCUACGGGAGGCAGCAGUGGGGAAUAUUGCACAAUGGGCGCAAGCCUGAUGCAGCGACGCCGCGUGAGGGAUGGAGGCCUUCGGGUUGUGAACCUCUUUCGCCAGUGAAGCAGGCCUGCCUCGUUUGUGGGUGGGUUGACGGUAGCUGGAGAAGAAGCGCCGGCUAACUACGUG
Molecule: ribosomal RNA, 494 nt
Filed under: uncultured bacterium
Lineage: Bacteria
Description: partial 16S ribosomal RNA
Rfam family: Bacterial small subunit ribosomal RNA
Source: RNAcentral